AGCAGCCGCGGUAAUUCCAGCUCCAAUUGCGUAUAUUAAAGUUGUUGCAGUUAAAAAGCUCGUAGUUGAAUUUCGAGACCGGUCUACUGGUCGUGCUUUUGUACGUACUGGUAUAAUCGGUUUCUCUCUUCUGACGAACUAUAAUGCCAUUAAUUUGGUGUUUUAGGGAAUCAGGACUGUUACUUUGAAAAAUUAGAGUGUUUAAAGCAGGCUCACGCUUGAAUACAUUAGCAUGGAAUAACGAAAUAGGACGUUUGAUUCUAUUUUGUUGGUUUCUAGGAUCGACGUAAUGACUAAUAGGGAUAGUUGGGGGCAUUAGUAUUCAAUUGUCAGAGGUGAAAUUCUUGGAUUUAUUGAAGACUAACUACUGCGAAAGCAUUUGCCAAGGAUGUUUUCAUUAAUCAAGAACGAAAGUUAGGGGAUCGAAGACGAUCAGAUACCGUCGUAGUCUUAACCAUAAACUAUGCCGACUAGGGAUCGGAUGAUGUUAAAUUAUGACUCAUUCGGCACCUUACGGGAA
This 520-nucleotide ribosomal RNA is filed under the name uncultured Glomus. Its description in RNAcentral is "SSU rRNA". It matches the Rfam family "Eukaryotic small subunit ribosomal RNA", at positions 569 to 1096 of the family's 1831-position model. The record is from RNAcentral. Lineage: Eukaryota; Fungi; Glomeromycota; Glomeromycetes; Glomerales; Glomeraceae.